CUCAUCGAGCUGCACAUACUCCGGCCACUCAGACUGGUGGAGUUCCUGUAGUCACCCUGACGACCAGUCUUUUGAUUUAAACCUGUCAUAAAAGAAGCUACGCUCUACGUCAAGAUGCUGCUCCUGCUCAAGAGUCCAGCGCGGACGUGGCUGACAUGGAGUUUUUAGUUUCUUCACCGUCGCCUAGAGACUCUCUCUCUGGCUGUGCUGCUGGGCCUUCUCACAAAUCACCCUGCAAAAGCCGCAGCAUCGGCAACAAGAAGGUG
Ixodes scapularis (black-legged tick) is the source of this 266-nucleotide long non-coding RNA. RefSeq lists it as uncharacterized. NCBI's taxonomy places the organism in Eukaryota, Metazoa, Arthropoda, Arachnida, Ixodida, Ixodidae. The transcript is spliced from 3 exons. The record is from RefSeq and is a predicted model, not a curated record.